RNAcentral lists this ribosomal RNA (253 nucleotides) under uncultured bacterium. RNAcentral's name for it is "partial 16S ribosomal RNA". It matches the Rfam family "Bacterial small subunit ribosomal RNA", at positions 524 to 776 of the family's 1533-position model. The record is from RNAcentral.
UACGAAGGGGGCUAGCGUUGUUCGGAAUUACUGGGCGUAAAGCGCGUGUAGGCGGGUCUUUAAGUCCGGGGUGAAAUGCCAAGGCUCAACCUUGGAACUGCCUUUGAUACUGGAGAUCUUGAGUCCGGGAGAGGUGAGUGGAACUGCGAGUGUAGAGGUGAAAUUCGUAGAUAUUCGCAAGAACACCAGUGGCGAAGGCGGCUCACUGGCCCGGUACUGACGCUGAGGCACGAAAGCGUGGGGAGCAAACAGG